CAGAGAGCACGCUCUUGGUUGCUAUCUAUCUGACUCAGACCGAAAUGUAUGUAUACUUUACAGUCUUUGUCCCGACCAACCAAGAAAAUUCCUUCCUUGAAGAAAGCCAGCAGGGAGGGAGAGACUCCCUUCUUUUGAUCGUGGAUCGUUCUUUUGGGAAGCUCCACCACCCAGGCAGGUUGUUUGGGAAUGCGCCCUUGUGUGGGUGAUAACACCCACCUCUAGCUAAAGAUUGGAGAGAGACCGAGAGCGAAAACCUACCGGGAGAGAAAAAUAAAAAUAUCUUUAAAAAGAUAGAUAAAAAGUAAAUGAGAUUGUUAAAAAGCAACCGAUUGAAGUCUGGCUGGCCGGCCUGCAGCCUCCUUCUCGCUUGGAGGGCGGGUGCAGGUCGGCUUUUUUUUGCCUGCCACCAAUAGUUUUUCCUCCAGAAAAAAGGGGUAAAGAAGGUGUCUCUCUCUCCGAAGAAUGAGAGAUAUCCCUACACGACAUACUGUGAUACAGAGGGAGGCAUGCAGUGAUAGUUUUUUUGUCUUUGUGGAUUGAUUGCUCAGUGGCUUGCUUGUUUAUUUGUUCGGCCGACAAACCGCUCGCCGUCCAAGUGAGGACUCACUCCCUUCACUCACUUUUCACUCUCUUUGUCGGUUG
RNAcentral lists this ribosomal RNA (645 nucleotides) under Apophysomyces trapeziformis. RNAcentral describes it as "partial large subunit ribosomal RNA". It matches the Rfam family "Eukaryotic large subunit ribosomal RNA", at positions 97 to 628 of the family's 3401-position model. The record is from RNAcentral. Lineage: Eukaryota; Fungi; Mucoromycota; Mucoromycetes; Mucorales; Mucoraceae.